UUUUAUGGGCUGAAGCAAGAAAACCCAACCGCAAACAACAUCGGUUCCUAAUCCCUCUUCUCUAGCUAGCUUCAAUGGAGGAACUUGACAAACAAGACAUACAAACGGAACAUGGUGGUUAGAGCCACAGGUUUUGAACCCUUUCUUCCUCCACUUCCACUUUCACCUUCACUCACUACAUUUUCCCUCAACUCUUUCUCAAACCCUAACUUCUCCUCUUCAAUGCGUUCUACAUUCACACUAUUUCGCAAUCUCAUGCUCUCCACUUUCCACCAACCCCGCACGCUCCCUUCCCAACUCCUCCCUCGCCGGUUUCCGCGCCUCUGCGUUGGCGCCGAGCAGUGGGCACUCCAUGAAGAACUUCCGGAACACGAAAUUUUCCGUUUUGCGGCGGAGGCUGGUGAGAAGCGGCUGCCGCGUCCGGAGGUGGAGGUGAAGGAGUUGAGUGAAGUUCCGGAGCUGUGGCGAAGGUCGAGAGUUGCUUGGCUGUGCAAGGAGCUGCCGGCGCAUAAGGCGGGAACUCUAAUUAGGAUUUUGAAUGCGCAGAGGAAGUGGAUGAGGCAGGAAGAUGCCACAUAUGUCAUUAUGCAUUGCUUGCGGAUUCGCGAGAACGAAACUGCGUUUAGGGUAUACAAAUGGAUGAUGCAACGGAGUUGGUACCGAUUUGAUUUUGCUCUUUCUACCAGGCUAGCUGAUUACAUGGGUAAAGAGCGGAAAUUUUCUAAGUGCCGUGAGGUAUUUGAUGAUAUUAUCAAUCAAGGCCGUGUUCCCAGCGAAUCAACAUUCCAUAUAUUGGUCGUGGCUUACCUUAGUUCUUCUGUUCAAGGUUGCUUGGAUGAAGCAUGUGGUAUUUUCCACCGAAUGAUUCAGUUGGGUGGAUACCAGCCAUGUCUUAGCUUGCAUAAUUCCCUCUUUAAAGCUCUUGUUGGCAAACCAGGGAACUUUUCAAAGCAGUACCUUAAGCAAGCUGAGUUUAUAUAUCACCGUUUGGUUUCAACUGGACUUGAUGUACAUAAGGAUAUUUAUGGUGGCCUAAUUUGGCUGCAUAGCUAUCAGGAUUGCAUAGACAAAAAGAGAAUAGAAGCAUUGAGGGAAGAGAUGCGACGCGCUGGAAUUGGUGAGAGAGAAGAGGUGCUGGUGUCAAUCUUGAGGGCUUGUGCAAGGGAGGGAGAGGUGGAGGAAGCAGAGAAAACUUGGUCCAAACUUUUGCAGUUUGAAAGUAACCCCCCAUCACAGGCUUUUGUGUACAAAAUGGAAGUCUACUCUAAGGUUGGCGUGCCUAUGAAGGCCUUGGAGGUAUUUAGGGAAAUGCAGUUGAAACUAGGUAAGACAGGUGUGCCAGCAUAUAAUAAAAUAAUAGAAAUACUGUGCAAAGCACAAGAAUCCGAAUUUGCAGAAUCAAUCAUGACAGAAUUUGUCAAUAGUGGUCUGAAGCCCCUUACACCAUCAUAUGUUUAUUUAUUAAACAUGUACUUCAACUUGGAAUCACAUGAUAAAUUGGAAGAGGCGUUCUCUCAAUGCCUAGAGAAAUGUCGUCCUAAUAGUGCCAUAUACAGUAUAUAUUUGGAUUCUUUGGUGAAAGUUGGUAAACUUAACAAGGCUGAGGAUAUCUUUUGCCAAAUGUUUCGUGAUGCAAGUAUUGGUGUCAAUGCCCGAUCAUGUAACAACAUCUUACACGGAUACCUAUAUUCGGGAAACAACUUCAAGGCGGAAAAGAUCUAUGACUUAAUGUGCCAAAAGAAGUAUGAAAUUGAUGCCCCAUUAAUUGAAAAGCUUGACUAUAUCCUGAGUUUGAGAAGGAGGAUUACUAAAAAGCCAAUGAGCCUGAAGCUAAACAAAGAACAGAGAGAGAUGCUGAUUGGGAUGCUUUUAGGUGGCUUGCAGAUUGAUUCUGAUGGUCAAAGGAAGAACCACAUCAUUGGCUUCAAUUUUGAUGGCAAUUCUGUGAGCCAUAAUGUCUUGAAAAGUCAUAUACAUCACCAAUUUUAUGAGUGGCUACAUCCUACUUUUAAGCCAAGUGAUGACAGUAAGAACAUACCAGAUAAGUUUUGCACCAUUGCAAGCUCUCAUUUUGGCUUUUACGCUGAUCAGUUUUGGUCAGGAGGUCAACCUACGAUUCCAAAACUUGUUCAUAGGUGGUUGUCACCGUGUGUUCUUGCAUAUUGGUAUAUGUAUGGGGGCCAUAGAAACUCAUCAGGGGAUAUUUUGCUGAAGAUUAAGGGAAGUCGUGAGGGUGUGGAGAACAUUGUCAAAAAGUUUAAAGCCAUGUCCAUUGAUUGUAAAGUCAAGGGAAAGGGAAAGGUAUUCUGGAUUGGUAUUCUGGGAAGCAAUACGACAUGGUUCUGGAAAUUGGUUGAGCCAUAUAUUCUAGAAGAUGUAAGAGAUUUCACUAAGUCAGGUGUGAAUAUGAUGGGACGGGAUUUAUUGGAAACUCAAGACAUUAACUUCAAUAGAGAAUCAGAGGAAUGAGAAAGGGCGAUACGGAAUUGAUGAUAAUGGUUGGACUUUGGAAAAGCUUUUCUUAGUAGUUUGCCAGACUAGAACUUUAAACCCUUCUGAGACACACUAAGUUCUGGCGCUUCAGUUUCCCACACAACUCAUGCCAAUCUUCAGAAGUACACGCCAUUUUAGAUUAUGUUAUUUCUCUGUUAUUCUCUGUCAGGUGAGUUCUGAUGAUCUUCUGAAUCCUGCUCUCCUUGUUGUAUUUACUUUAGUUCUUAUUCGUGCCUUUGAUUUUUUCUUUCCAGUGGUCUUCAUAAUAUUAUUAUGAUGUCAUUUCAUCUAUGUAGCCAACCCUACCUUGUGGGGUAAGUCUUGGUUGUUGUUGUUGUUGUGGUCUUCAUAAUCUUCUUUAAGUUUUAUAAGGUAUGAAUUGUUGACAGAGAAUAACGUGGGUUGCAACUUUUUUACUAUUAUAUCGGUCAGUUUUCUAAAAACAAUUUCUUUUGUUUUGUCUCAUGAUUGUCCAGAGAUUUUCGGUGAGUUUAUCUUUUUGUUUGCUUUUUAUUCGUUUGAUGAUUGUCCUGCAUUUAUGAAAAGGUCAUUGACUUUAGGAAUUAGAAUGAUUCUUUGAUGGGGGAAUUCUGUAUCC
RNA transcript from Lathyrus oleraceus (garden pea), 3091 nucleotides. It is a transcript of the gene named pentatricopeptide repeat-containing protein At2g15820, chloroplastic, with no coding region annotated. NCBI's taxonomy places the organism in Eukaryota, Viridiplantae, Streptophyta, Magnoliopsida, Fabales, Fabaceae. The record is from RefSeq and is a predicted model, not a curated record. The transcript has 3 exons.